Long non-coding RNA from Triticum dicoccoides, 3576 nucleotides. RefSeq lists it as uncharacterized. Lineage: Eukaryota; Viridiplantae; Streptophyta; Magnoliopsida; Poales; Poaceae. The record is from RefSeq and is a predicted model, not a curated record. The transcript is spliced from 3 exons.
ACCGCAACGCUAUCCCACCUUCCUUAUCCCUCUCCUCUGUCCUCUCAAAUUUGCCUCGCCGCUGCCACCCGCAGCCACCGUCGCGGUUGUCAAUCUGGACGAGAAGGAGCCACCUCGAGGCUCACCAACGGCGUAGCCAUAUCUCUGUGCUCGGCGCCACACAAGGCUCAUCUCUCUAAUUCCUUCGCUGUUGUCCUCUAAGGAGUUUUCUUCAUCUCGCUCAUCCCCUCACCGUCGUUCCGCCCCGGGCACCUUGGCCUCCUCCAGUACGCAUCGGCUUUGACGAGGGACUCCAAGAGGACCCCCGACCUGUUCGGCCGCUCUCACCGGCGUCGACCCGGACGGUUCUAUCCCACACGUCUCCUCCUACCUUUUCCCCCGAGACAACGACGACGACGCUGAAUGGGAGGAGGACGAGGACCCGAUCCUUCUUCCCGCGCAUUGAGGAGGCUGCAGUCGCAUCGACCUGGAGCGACGGUGCCCCCUACCGAGUACCAACGCCCGACGCCCAGCACAGUACUACCGGACUCUUCCUCCAGCUCUAUGAAAUCAGGCCUCUGAUUAGCAAUGGUCGGACGGGCCGGCCUCCCAUGCAUCAAUGCAUGGAUGCGCAGAACUAUUUCGGGGGAGAGGAGAAUCAAGGAGACGCACAGUACGUACGUGGCCCGGCCACCGCCACCACACAGCGUCAACUGGCUGACCGCGUGCAUCUCAAGUGGAGGCGUGUCGACCAGGAAUUUGGCCGAACGCGAUCCAGCCUCGCCUACGCCUCGUCGCCAAUGGACGCAUUUGAAAGGAAAGUUUCUCCUAUAUAUAUGCUCCCUUCUCCAAAACUGCAUAAUUGAUGCCCAUGUACAUGCAUGGCCUUGUCAAAUCUCCGGCAAGAAAACAUCAUGCUGCUCCACACACAAAAAUUGAGGUUGGCAAGCUGAUUACUUCAUUAAAUUACACACCCCAGGAGUGUGUCUUCAAAUGACUCAACUUGUGUGCAGAAAACAGUUGUUUCGGUAAACAUUUGAUUGUUUAGAUGAAGAGAUUUAGCUUUUCCUUCCUAACUCAAGUAAGUAUUCUUUUUUAAUGGAAUAAUGGUUUCCUUGAAUUUCAGAGGUAAUAUAUAUUAUGCAGAAUAGCUCUUUUCCUCGGGCUUGCUGGGUGGAGACCUGUAUGUUCAUGUUGAUUGAGUAUCCACAUUGAAUCACCCCAUAUAGGGGUGGGCACUUUUGAACCGAAAACCGAAAAACCAAACCGAACCGAACCAUAUUAACCGAUUUAUCUAUUAGUUUGGUGAUUCGAUUUUUUGUUCGGUGGGAAAUUUUAAGGUUGUUCGGUGUUUGGUUUUUGUUCGGUUUCCAGUGCCCAAAAACCGAAUACACCGAAAAAACCAAUAUGUACGAUACCCCAUGCAAUACCUUGUUUUCGAAAGUUCAGCGGGGACGCGUCCUCUGACAAAUACUUGUUGGUUGUGGCAGACGUCAAGCCAGCCCCUAGAUGAGUUUCUAAUCUCACAAUCUAACUAGUACUCCUAUGUAACGCCAUACUAGCAUGGCUAACUGAAUUUGUUUAGAUUAUUUUACUAUUGUUUGCAUGCAACAUAGUCAAUGGCCGUAUCCUUCUAGCAGGUACUUAUUAAGAUUUCUUUUUUUUGUUUGAAAACUUAUUAAGAUUUCUAUCCAUGCAAUAUCGCGUAGGAGUAUGUAUGCAUGCCCGGCGCUUGCUUACGGAAUACUAGCAAUUAGUAUAUCAAUUAAUGCAUGAGUUGCUUAGUUUACACGCAUCACACAUAUUCUUCCAUACAUAAUACAUGUAACGCCCCAUGUGAUUUUACACUUAGUUAUGUUCACUAGUUUGCUUGACCGAAUAAAGCACUGACUGAUGUUAAGGUUGCUAGCUCUUGUGAUAUAUACUGAUGAGUGCAUGUAUUUUGGUUUUUCGGUUAACCAAAUAAACCGAACCGAUAUAUUAUGGUUAAUAUGGUUCGGUUUCUAAAUAUUGUGUGAUUAAUUCGGUUUCCAUUUCUUCAAAACCGAAAUUAUAAAACACCGAAUAAACCGAACCGUAUUAACCAUAUAAACCGAAUGCCCAGCCCUAACCCCAUAUGCUACUUGAACGACCCCUCGAAUCAGCUACAUAAGUGGUCUCCAUUUCCUUGCUACAGAUUGCACCGAUGCGUGGCGGCGGCAGUGGAUUGCCAAGGGUGUGUUGAGCUCUAGCGCCCCGCCACCGCCAUAGCAGUCACACCCGAGUUUCCUUCCGGAUAAUCCAAACCCCGGCAGCUGUCGUAGCAGCUGCAGAUGGCUUGCUAGGCGAUUCCCUGCGUCAUUUUCAUCUUCCCAAAGACAAAGUAUGGGUUGAUUCCAUUGUUUGAUGUUGGAAUCGGCGAGGCUGGUCGUAUUGGCGGUAUCCUCCGAUGUGCACGCCUCUGAAGGUCCAUCGAGUAAGAACAUUAUUUCCUAUGGGAGUCCUCACACAAAUAUCACAAUUCUAUAAACCCUUUAUUUCCUUCAACUAAUUUUGCAAUAACAAUAAUUCUUCUGUUUUUCUAAGCUUCGUAAUGUGUUACUGCGUGAAUUUUUUUUUGUAGUCUUAAUAGCAUGUACAUUUUAUUUUCCGCACACCAAGCUCCAAUGGACACAUGGAAAACAGAUACCAAUUGCUCUGAAGUUUGCAUAUCAGAAUCGUAUCAAUUUCUCUAAAAUGGGUGUCUAUCCUAUUCUCCAUUUCAUUUUUGAAUGCCUUGCAGAAGGACUUAGCCCCUUGAAAGGUGAUAUUUUGGUCAUUGUUGGGGGCUGGGGCCUAGCUUUGCACUGUCAAUGUUACCGAGGAGUAUAUUGUCAAGAAAAGUAACAGAAUUGAGGUGAUGGCAAUGCCAGGGAAUUUUGCAGCAAUUAUAAGUGGUAUACAGAUGUAUCCUUUGGCUAAUUGCAAUCAUGAAUUGUACUCUCUUCAUUUGGGAAAUUGAUAUACAGCGCCCUUGAUAUUACAACAGGGGCAUACUUGAGGGAAGAACUUACAUCAAAUAUAAUGGAAUGCCAAUGCAGCGACUCUCCUUCCCUCCCUGUGCUUUAGUUAUUCUAAUUUAGUUUCACUAAACUGAAACUGCAGUCAUAGAUCAACGGUUUUUAUCUGAACUUCGGAUCUAACUGUGUUACAUAUUUAACUCUUAAUUAAGAAUGUGAGAGAUUACAGCUGCAGGAAUGAUGGCAAUGUCACUCAUUUGCACGUUUACGAAUCCACGCCCCAUGGUGUUUUUCGAGCUGUCUCAUGCUAAACUACUGAUUGCUAAAAUCCGGUGUGCUAUAUGAUUCUUCGAAGGCAACACAACUUUCUCUUGUUGUCAACUACUCCCUCCGUUUCAAAUUACUCGUCAUGGUUUUAGUUCAAAUUUGAAUUAAACCCACGACGAGUAAUUUGGAACGGAGGGAGUAGAAUUUUUUUUCAGAUUUAUAUUAUUUUUCUUUGGAUUGGUGAAGUGCCUUAGUUUUACAAUGUAUUUGAUGCAAGCAUAACACUGUACAAAAUCAUGGGUUCAGUCAAAUGAAAGAUGUGCCUGGGGUACUUUGUUAAUCCCCUUUCAAA